RNAcentral lists this ribosomal RNA (498 nucleotides) under uncultured bacterium. RNAcentral's name for it is "partial 16S ribosomal RNA". It matches the Rfam family "Bacterial small subunit ribosomal RNA", at positions 30 to 523 of the family's 1533-position model. The record is from RNAcentral.
AUUGAACGCUGGCGGCAUGCUUUACACAUGCAAGUCGAACGGUAACAGGCCGCAAGGUGCUGACGAGUGGCGAACGGGUGAGUAAUGCAUCGGAACGUGCCCAGUCGUGGGGGAUAACGAAGCGAAAGCUGUGCUAAUACCUCAUACGACCUAUGGAUGAAAUCGGGGGACCGUAAGGCCUCGCGCGAUUGGAGCGGCCGAUGUCAGAUUAGGUAGUUGGUGGGGUAAAGGCUCACCAAGCCAACGAUCUGUAGCUGGUCUGAGAGGACGACCAGCCACACUGGGACUGAGACACGGCCCAGACUCCUACGGGAGGCAGCAGUGGGGAAUUUUGGACAACGGGCGCAAGCCUGAUCCAGCAAUGCCGCGUGCAGGAAGAAGGCCUUCGGGUUGUAAACUGCUUUUGUACGGAACGAAAAGGUUUGGGUUAAUACCCUGGGCCGAUGACGGUACCGUAAGAAUAAGCACCGGCUAACUACGUGCCAGCCGCCGCCGUAA